This is a long non-coding RNA of Gorilla gorilla gorilla (western lowland gorilla), 474 nucleotides long. RefSeq lists it as uncharacterized. NCBI's taxonomy places the organism in Eukaryota, Metazoa, Chordata, Mammalia, Primates, Hominidae. The record is from RefSeq and is a predicted model, not a curated record. The transcript is spliced from 2 exons.
CUGGCGUUACUGCCCCCUGGCGGCCCGACGGAAGUAUCCUCCAGACUUGGCCUCGCCGCUAGGUGGCCUCCCCCGCUAGAGGUCAUCGACUCACGCCUCUCGCGCCGCGCUCCGGUCCGGGUAGCCCAGCGGUAGAGACAAGGUUUCACCGUGUUAGCCAGGAUGGUCUCGAUCUCCUGAACUCGUGAUCCGCCUGCCUCGGCCUCCCAAAGUGCUGGGAUUACAGGAGUGAGCCACCGCGCCCGGCUGUGUCCGCGCUUCUUUUCCCGAGCUCUGCCUCCGAGUUUUCUGGGGCGCAGCUGCUUCACUCUCCAUCUCUGCCUCCGGGGGGCUAAUUACACCGUAUCCUACCCAUCCUCCCGCCUGACCACCCACCCCCUUGGAAGCCCCCGCAACCCCGUCACCGUCUUCGGGGCGACGGCCGCCCCCUCCCAGGCACGUCCCCCUCCUAGGAAGAGGCUGAGGCCAAGUUUA